Molecule: long non-coding RNA, 402 nt
Organism: Tupaia belangeri chinensis (Chinese tree shrew)
Lineage: Eukaryota; Metazoa; Chordata; Mammalia; Scandentia; Tupaiidae
Exons: 3
Source: RefSeq, a predicted model, not a curated record
ACAGCUUGGCGGACCAGAUCUUUCAAAACAAGGGCUGUAAUGAGAAAAUGAUCAAAGGGGGAGCUGACAGGGAAGUUGGAGCCCCUCAUUUUCACAGAUGGGGGACAUGAGGCACAGAGAGCUGGGGCGAUUUGAUCAAGGUCACACAGCAGGGCUGGAACCACCACCCAAGGUUUCUGUCCCUCUGGAGAGACAUGCUCCCACCACACCCUGCUGUCGUGAGCUUCGAGAAGCCCAGAGCACCAAGACUCACCAGGGUCGCUGAAGAAGGCAUCUGACUUGUUUCUCAGGCUGCUGAGUAGAGGACUUGAACUUUGCCAUCGGCCAUGUGAGAGUCAGCCCACCACACUGCAGGCUGGAAUGAGGGAGAGAGAGAGAGGAGAGAGAGAACGUGAGAAAUUG